RNAcentral lists this ribosomal RNA (852 nucleotides) under Coltricia perennis. RNAcentral describes it as "eukaryotic LSU rRNA". It matches the Rfam family "Eukaryotic large subunit ribosomal RNA", at positions 66 to 915 of the family's 3401-position model. The record is from RNAcentral. Lineage: Eukaryota; Fungi; Basidiomycota; Agaricomycetes; Hymenochaetales; Hymenochaetaceae.
UAACAAGGAUUCCCCUAGUAACUGCGAGUGAAGAGGGAAGAGCUCAAAUUUAAAAUCUGGCAGCUCUGCUUCCGAGUUGUAAUCUGUAGAAGCAUUUUCUGCAUUGGACCGUGUACAAGUCUCUUGGAAGAGAGCGUCAUAGAGGGUGAGAAUCCCGUCCAUGACACGGACUACCAAUGCUCUGUGAUAUGCUCUCAAAGAGUCGAGUUGUUUGGGAAUGCAGCUCAAAAUGGGUGGUAAAUUCCAUCUAAAGCUAAAUACAGGCGAGAGACCGAUAGCGAACAAGUACCGUGAGGGAAAGAUGAAAAGCACUUUGGAAAGAGAGUUAAACAGUAUGUGAAAUUGUUGAAAGGGAAACACUUGAAGUCAGUCACGUCCUGCAGGACUCAGCCUUGCCUUUUAUUAGGCCUGGUGUAUUUCCUGCAGGAUGGGUCAACAUCAAUUUUGGUCAGUGGAUAAAGGAGGAGGGAAUGUGGCACCCUUGCGGGUGUGUUAUAGCCCUCCUUCAUAUGUACUGACUGGGAUUGAGGACUGCAGUAGGUCCUUUUGGACUUGCUUAGGAUGUUGACAAAAUGGCUUUAAGUGACCCGUCUUGAAACACGGACCAAGGAGUCUAACAUGCCUGCAAGUGUUUGGGUGGAAAACCCUUGCGCACAAUGAAAGUGAAAGUUGGGAACCUCCGCAAGGGGGUGCACUGACACCCAGCCCUGAUGUUUACUGACGGUGCUGCGGUAGAGCAUGUAUGUUGGGACCCGAAAGAUGGUGAACUAUGCCUGAAUAGGGUGAAGCCAGAGGAAACUCUGGUGGAAGCUGGUAGCGAUUCUGACGUGCAAAUCGAUCGUCAAAUUUGGG